CUUUUUAACAAAUAAAGUUGUCGAGAGAAAAUGCCGCUCCUUUUGAGCCGUUAAAAUGUCAGCACUGGUGCAAGCUGCAGGGAGACAGCCUCCCGACCUCUCCUCCUCACAUCUGCCCAGGGCUCUCAGGGUUACAGAGCACAUCCUAAGUCUGAGCCCCUACCCACAGGGACAACAAGGCUUAACCCUAAGUGGUCCUAUUGGUAGCAAGGGACUUGGAAGAUUCUGGGGGCCUAAACCCUGGUGGGGCCACAGCAUCCUGUCCCUGGAAAGCUGUACCAGUAUGACAUGGAGCGCUCCCUACAGGCACAUGAAAUCACAUAGAAGGGCGCAGAGCUGAGGCUUUGUCAGGCUUAUGGCACUCCUUAUAUGACUGUCCUUGCCUGCUUUCUGUAGAUGACAAAAUUGGUUUGUCCUCUGUAAACCAGUAGCCAAGUUUGGGUCUCAUAAUUAAUCUUUGCCUACAGCUAGUGAUCUGACCAUUUUCAAGUGAAGAGGACUUCAGGGCUGGGCACUGUUCAGCGAGCUCAGAGCAGUUCUCAACAGGAGUGUAUACCUGCGGAGCCAGGGUUACUGAGAUAAAGGACAGGACCCACCUCUUCUUUCAGAGUGGGCUGCCUCUCUUGUAGAUAAGUGCUUCUGUGGCCUUGCUAAGCUGGGCAGGACAGCCCAAUGCCAACAUUUGCAAAGAGGACAGGAUGAGAAUUAUCUAUACCACACAUUAUUAAGAGCCCAGGCACUGCCCCCAGAUAAAGCCGAUACCCAAUCCUUGAUUUACUGGUGCUGGGCUCCCCUACCUGGAUGAAAGCCCAAGGGAAAGGUCACUGUUAAAGGCAGGGCACACCUCCUCAGCCUUCUAAUAGUGCAUUAUCAUAAACCUCCAAGAUCUGCUCGUUUUUAUAGAAAUGCACAAAAUACAAAGAAUAAUGUAACAAGUUAGAAAAUAAAGAAUACAUGUAUACUUUUGGAGACUAAACGUGAGUUUAUAAGAGGAGAAUGCAUGGAAAAUACAUAGAGAGACUGCACACGGACUUUCAGGGGCAGAUACACUUACCUGAAGAAAAGAUGUGGGUUCCCAUGGAUGGGUGCAUACAGGUUACCAUGGAGACAAACAGGGACACCUAUGGAGAGAUGGCAUCCAUAUUUCCAACUCUAUAAAAGCAGAAUCCUCAUUAUGUUGUUAGAUCUGGAUGUUUGGGCCUGAAUCUUAGCAACUUCAUGUACAAUCUAUGCUCAGAUCUGACCUGGCGGCACCCUCUUGCACCUCCUCCUUCCACAACUCUUAUGGGCUUAUGUGGGAAGAUGUGCCAGGGCUCUGUGGAGAGCUGCCUGUGUUGAGGAUCUCAGAGGUCCUCUCACCCACCUCCCAGUUUACUGGCCGGGGACUGAGUCAGCAAGUUUACAUCUUGGACAUUGCCUGGCCACUUCCAUGCACUAUUGGAUUUGGAGAUCAGCAUCCAUGCAACAGGAUGCAGGGUUUUUAAACAUUCUUUUAUAUUUACAGAAACUGUUGCACAGUUUCACUCAGGGAUGCUUCCAACUUUUGCACAUGGAAUACAAGGAGCCCUGAAUUCAGAUCCGAAGGUCUGGGGCAAGUUCUCUAAGUGUUGUGUUAGCUGAGGAAGGAAGGAGCACAUGGUGAUUUAAGGAGAAUUGUUCACCCACAAGCCCAGUAAGUGCUGCCCCAGGCCUGAGCACCCUCCUUGAGUACUGCUUCGCUUUUCCCUGCUCACAUCUGGGCUGCCUAGGACCCCAUCCCUGACGUCAUUCCUGGUGAUGGCCCUCUUGCCAGCCUCUGUGCCUCCUUGAUCUUUCCUCUUCAUGUUUAUGCUCCGUGGUGUUCUUCUGUUCCUGCUUUUGUAUCUUUACUGACCCUCUCCCCUCGGGAAUGUCAGCUGAGAGAGGGCAGAAACUGACUCCAGUUGGUCAUCUGCUCUUUUCGUAGUGCCUAGAACAGAGCUUGGCAUAAGGUGAGCACUCAAUCAAUG
This 1988-nucleotide long non-coding RNA is filed under the name Marmota monax (woodchuck). The record is from RNAcentral. Lineage: Eukaryota; Metazoa; Chordata; Mammalia; Rodentia; Sciuridae.